Halichondria panicea is the source of this 2670-nucleotide long non-coding RNA. RefSeq lists it as uncharacterized. NCBI's taxonomy places the organism in Eukaryota, Metazoa, Porifera, Demospongiae, Suberitida, Halichondriidae. The transcript has 3 exons. The record is from RefSeq and is a predicted model, not a curated record.
GACAUAUAAACUGUGAAAGUGUUGUGUAAACUGUGGAUAAUGAAUAAUGAUGAUUAUGCUGCGCUUUUUAUAGAAUUGCAUGUUACCUCAGCUCAGGAGUUGUUUUGUUCCACUGAACACUGCACUAGCACUAGCUCUCUGCACUGUAAAUAGCUAGUGAGUUAACUAUCAUUAUGUUGUCUACAACUGUAAAGCAUCGAUUGCUUGACAACGGCUCGAGCACCCUUCAGUGGCUGGAAAUUACUCCUUCGAUGUGUACUCAAAGCUGUUGAUGCUGUUAGGAUCGUUGUGUCGAGUACCUUGGUGUACCAGGUAGAUGUCCUUUUUCCUGUAUUACGAAAUGUGGAGAGAUUAAAGGGUAAAAUGUUUCUGCUAGCUAUACCAUUCCUAUAUCAUCAUUAAUAGGCUUAAUCGAUCCACAUCUAAACAUGUCCAAAGUUAUUGGAUUGAUUAAUAGAAGCUCAAAUUUCCAGCUUUGCCCUGGCCUUCUUCAUGAUUGGUAUGAGAGAAAGUGUGACACGGCAGGGUUUCGUCAAAAAGACAUCAGAAGUUUUGAAAUUCCUUGCAAACGAUACGAGUGUAAUACAUGCCUUCUAUGGCACAAGCCUUUCACACCAUCUACAUAAUGUGUGUUCUGAGUGCAAAAAAAAAGCAAAACGGCUUGUACAAAAUUAUGAGUAUGCUGUUACUGUUACUCCUAAACAGAAAGAUGCAUGGUAGGUGAGACUCCUCAUCAAAUUACCCAGUUUCAAAUUUAUCUCCUGCAAGUCAAAUGGAAAGAAUGAAGCGUUUAAAGAAGGAUCUGGAUAUAAACAACUUCAUCAGCAACACUUUCUUUGACCUUCUUGGAGAUCUUUUUGGACAUGAUAUUUAUAAUUUCUUUUGCAGUACAGUUGAGUCAUGUUGCAUGUGGUGAGAGUAGUAUCAACAUUGUUAUUGUAACACCUUGUAUCUCAAGUGGUUGUGGUUACAGUAUAGAGAUUUGUGACGUAGGAGUGGAGGAAUGCUUUUUGUGCACAGUCUAUUGGAGUUGCGUACUCUUCCUAAUGAACUCUUGGUAUUAGUGAGGAAACAUUAAAAGGACUACGCAUUACUGUCAAAUCAUUUGUCGAAAUGACCAAGUUUCUCCUAUGUCAGCCAAACUCAAAUGACCUCUUCCUGUCUUCCUGCUUAGUCAAGAGGACACCGUCCCGGGAACCCCAAUUUCAAGGAGUGUACACAGAAUGCUGUGGCCAUUAGAGUCUUUGAACCUAGAUCGCGUAAAGCGGCUUCUAGGUAAUGAAGAUCAUAUAUUAAGUAAAGAUGAUGAAGUACCUUUGCCAAAACGUAAGCGGCACUAACAGAAUUUUUAUAUCGCUCACAAAGUUCUAUAUUUUUUUAUAUAACUUAUACUAAUUCUGAUAUGACAUGUAUAUAUAUAAUAAUUGUUGUAUGACAAUGUCACAAUCAAAUCUUCAAUCUAUGGGACUAGUUGUUUCCUUAGUUCAACGCUCUUCUUUGUAGAUCGUUUUUCUAGUCUCUUGAACUGCUCCAUCCACAUGGCAGCAAUACACAUACAAUUUAACUAUUUCAGCUAAUAGCCAAGCAACAUCUUCUUCCUUUUCUAUGCAUUGACAUAGCAGUGUCCAGUGGAACUGAACACUGUCGCUGUCCACUAUCUUAGGUCUUUUGAGGUCUUUUUGAGCAUAUGACUUGUAAGUAGCACUCGCGUUUGCUUCUCAAUGUCCACAAAUAGGGUAAAUGCCUGGUUAUUCAAAGGAAAUAAACCCUAACCUUAACCUUAACCUUGGCCAUCCAUUCCUUUGUGUACUCCAGAACAUCACUGUCAUUGUCACUCACUACGACCAUAUCCCCAAGACAUUCAAAUAAAUGCUGGUAUUUCUGGUAUUUCUUCCCAAAGAUGGUUGGUUGGCAUAUGACAGAGCUUAUAAGAAAUGGAGCAAUAAUUAUAGGAAACAGAAGUCAAAAGGCACCUGAUUAAGAGUUACAGAGCAGUAGUCUGAGUAGACCAGCAGCUUUCCAUUGACAAGAAUUGUAAUCUGUUGCAGGAUGUAAAAUUAACAUCCGGUCAUUGCAUGGGCGAAAGGGGUCUAUGCGGCGUUGCGGCACUUGAUUCUUCAGUCUAACGGCUUGGAGGUUCGGAGUGAUUUGAAGAGAUUUGACAAGGGUCAAACUAUCAUCAACUAUCAACUAACGAGCUCAAUGGCCUCUGCACCACCUCUGGUUACGCCGCCGGCGGCACCACCACCAAGACUGCCAAAGACCCAACUGCACUACGGGUACAGUGAGUUUUGCAUGAUCACGGGAGCCACCAGGUGUUGAUGGUUUAGAUGGUAGGCCAGGGAUUUAUGGCGUGGAUGGUAGGCCAGGGGUAGAUGGCGUGGAUGGUAGGCCAGGGAUAGAUGGCGUGGAUGGGGUGCAUGGAGUGAACGGUUUGACGGGAAGAACUGGGAUAGAUGGUAUGAAUGGGUCGAGUGGGAUGAAUGGAUUGCCAGGGGUGGAUGGUGCGAAUGGAACUGAUGGGGUGAAUGGACAACGUGGAGAGAGAGGAGAGAGAGGACCAGAAUGAUACAAUCAUUAAUGGCACAAAAUAGAGCACUAACAAAAGUAGUAACUCUACUGGCGGGACUACUCCCUCAACCUCUACCACCCACCAUUGAGGAGGCUUUG